RNAcentral lists this long non-coding RNA (2257 nucleotides) under Macaca fascicularis (crab-eating macaque). Its description in RNAcentral is "lncRNA (ENSMFAG00000054262.1)". Lineage: Eukaryota; Metazoa; Chordata; Mammalia; Primates; Cercopithecidae. The record is from RNAcentral.
CUUUUCUCUGGUUGGUGGGGCUUCCUCACUGGAACAAAGGGGAGUAUGUACAUUUCAUAAUAGAGUUCUGUGAUGAAAUGUCCUAAGGAGAUACAUGUACAUUUCAUAAUAGGCAUUCUGUGAUGGAAUGUUCUGAGGGGAUAAAAGCUGGAAUCGGUCUCAGCACAUCUCAGUUACUCAUUUUGAUUCGUUUGGACAAGUGAGUUACUACAGCGCUUAUCUGGAAAAAUGACUAGAAAACUACCUCCAAUCUCUCGGCCUCAACCCCAGGCUCCAUUUCUUUCUGUUCCUUCCCGCUCUCGUCUUCCAGCCCUCCUUCCCCCCGUUACUCCUCAAACUUCCUGCCCUCAGCCUCCUCUCCAGAGCCGUCCAUCUUGUUCGAUUUUCUGCCCUACCCGUUUGCCCAAGCUGACUGAUGUCUCCCCUUCCCAGUACCCUACCUCAAGGAACUUUCUGCCCAGCUCUUCCUCUGUUACUACCAGAGCGUCUGUGUGCCGCCCCCCUGUUCGUCAGGCACCCCUUUCCCAGUGCCCUCCUAUCUUCCCCCCUCGCCCUCCUCAUAGCCCUUCCUGCUAGUUUCCUGUACUCUAGUCCCCACUCCCUAUCCAGCCACCCCCAACCAGACCUGACGACUUACAAAUCUCACCCUGGAGAAAUGAUUUCCCUCAUACUGGGGCAGUUCUCAGGAGGUUCAGAAUUGCCAGGACUGUGGAUUCCCAGCAACGACCUGGCAGACACGGGGAAUCCAAGACCAUGGCAAGCGAAUAUUCAGCCUGGCCUGCGCCUUUCCUCUCCUGCCUGGGCAGGCAGACUGCACAAGCGUCUGCAUUUGAACUGGCUUCUCCGUGGAACUUGGUCUGUAACCACAGAGCAAACUGUAGAACCAGGAGCAGAGAAGUUGAUGGCAAGCCUUUUUCCUGGCAGUAUCGAGAGGCAGUUCUAGUAAAGAGGCUGGAUUCCGAGAGGCCAGAGUGGUAUCAUACGAACGCUGUUGCCUGGAGAUGGAGUGGGGCGCCGUUGCCUAGAGACUGCAGGAGGCCUGCGGCCGAGCGAGUGGUAAGAGGACGCCAAGAGAGCGCCGGACCCACCGAGCAGCUCCAAGGCCAUGGCGGGACACCCGAAAGAGAGGGUGGUCACAGAUGAGGUUCAUCAGAACCAGAUCUUGCGGGAGCUGUACCUCAAAGAGUUACGAACCCAGAAACUCUACACUCAGUACCACGUGAAUCCCCUGCGCAAGGUUCACAGGAUUACGAGGAAGCCCAUGUCUUGGCAUGAUAACCUGGAGGAACCCGCAGACGCCAGGUUUCUGAAUCUCAUUCACCAUGCUGCCCAGGGGCCAAGGAAGAAGUACCAGGAGGCACAAACUGAAAACCAGGAAAUUGGGUGGGACUCAGAGCCCUUGGUCGACCCAGAACGCAGUGACCGUAGGAUGAACCACUUCAGGGUCUACAAUGACAUCACUCUGUACAAAGCUAAAAUGUGGAGCUUGGGAGAAGAUGAUCGCCACAAGUAGCAUUUCAGCAAUGGAGUCAGUUCCUGGAUUUAAUGUCCUAAAUAUCCGCUGCCUAGAAGAGUAAAUAUUACUUUAACCCCCCGUCCAUAAUUCAUGGAUAAUGGCAAAAAUUAGGAAGCAUAAAAAAAUGCGGAAGAAGGAAAUAAAAAUUGCCCAUUAUCUCACCAUAUGGAAGUGACUAAUAUUAGCAUAUUAAACCAUUUGUUUUUAAAAUUAAUAAUAAAUUGCAUAUAUUUAUUGUGUACAAUGUGAUGUUUUGAAAUAUGUAUAUAUGGUAGAAUGGUUAAAUCGAGUAUCUCACAUACUUAUUUUGUGGUGAGAGGACUUAAAAUCUAUUCUCUUAGGGAUUUUCAAGAAUACAAUACAUAGUUAUUAACUGUAGUCACUACAGUUAAUCUUGACAGCUCUCUUGAACUUAUUCCUCCAACUGAAAUUUUGUAUCCUUUAGCCAACAUCGCCCCAAUUGCUACCCCUAACCCCUGGUAAUCACCAUUCUAAUCUCUAAUUCUAUGAGUUUGACUUUUUUAGAUUUAGAAAAUGUGGUAUAUUUACUUAAUGGAAUACAAUUCGGCCUUAAGAAAGAAAGAAAUCUCGUCAUUUACAGCAACAUGGAGGAACUUGAAGGACAUUAUGUUAAGUGAAAUAAGCCAGGCACAGAAAGACAAAUACCACAUGAUCUCACUUAUAUGGUGAAUCUAAAUAUGCCAACAUGUUUGCAUACUUCUAUAUUUUUCUGUAUAUUUG